RNAcentral lists this ribosomal RNA (1426 nucleotides) under uncultured bacterium. RNAcentral describes it as "bacterial SSU rRNA". It matches the Rfam family "Bacterial small subunit ribosomal RNA". The record is from RNAcentral.
AGAGUUUGAUUCAUGGCUCAAGACGAACGCUGGCGGCGUGCUUAACACAUGCAAGUCGAACGAAGAGCGAUGGAAGCUUGCUUUCUAUCAAUCUUAGCGGCGAACGGGCGAGUAACGCGUAAUCAACCUGCCCUUCAGAGGGGGACAACAGUUGGAAACGACUGCUAAUACCGCAUACGAUUCUAACCUCGGCAUCGAGGAAAAGAUGAAAGGUGGCCUCUAUGUAUAAGCUAUCACUGAAGGAGGGGAUUGCGUCUGAUUAGCUAGUUGGAGGGGUAACGGCCCACCAAGGCGAUGAUUCAGUAGCCGGUCUGAGAGGAUGAACGGCCACAUUGGGACUGAGACACGGCCCAGACUCCCACGGGAGGCAGCAGUGGGGAAUCUUCCGCAAUGGACGAAAGUCUGACGGAGCAACGCCGCGUGAGUGAUGACGGCCUUCGGGUUGUAAAGCUCUGUUAAUCGGGACGAAAGGCCUUCUUGCGAAUAGUUAGAAGGAUUGACGGUACCGGAAUAGAAAGCCACGGCUAACUACGUGCCAGCAGCCGCGGUAAUACGUAGGUGGCAAGCGUUGUCCGGAAUUAUUGGGCGUAAAGCGCGCGCAGGCGGAUCAGUCAGUCUGUCUUAAAAGUUCGGGGCUUAACCCCGUGAGGGGGUGGAAACUGCUGAUCUGGAGUAUCGGAGAGGAAAGUGGAAUUCCUAGUGUAGCGGUGAAAUGCGUAGAUAUUAGGAAGAACACCAGUGGCGAAGGCGACUUUCUGGACGAAAACUGACGCUGAGGCGCGAAAGCCAGGGGAGCGAACGGGAUUAGAUACCCCGGUAGUCCUGGCCGUAAACGAUGGGUACUAGGUGUAGGAGGUAUCGACCCCUUCUGUGCCGGAGUUAACGCAAUAAGUACCCCGCCUGGGGAGUACGACCGCAAGGUUGAAACUCAAAGGAAUUGACGGGGGCCCGCACAAGCGGUGGAGUAUGUGGUUUAAUUCGACGCAACGCGAAGAACCUUACCAGGUCUUGACAUUGAUGGACAGAACUAGAGAUAGUUCCUCUUCUUCGGAAGCCAGAAAACAGGUGGUGCACGGUUGUCGUCAGCUCGUGUCGUGAGAUGUUGGGUUAAGUCCCGCAACGAGCGCAACCCCUAUCUUAUGUUGCCAGCACUUCGGGUGGGAACUCAUGAGAGACUGCCGCAGACAAUGCGGAGGAAGGCGGGGAUGACGUCAAAUCAUCAUGCCCCUUAUGACCUGGGCUACACACGUACUACAAUGGGAGUUAAUAGACGGAAGCGAGAUCGCGAGAUGGAGCAAACCCGAGAAACACUCUCUCAGUUCGGAUCGUAGGCUGCAACUCGCCUACGUGAAGUCGGAAUCGCUAGUAAUCGCAGGUCAGCAUACUGCGGUGAAUACGUUCCCGGGCCUUGUACACACCGCCCGUC